This 527-nucleotide long non-coding RNA is filed under the name Sorghum bicolor (sorghum). RNAcentral's name for it is "long non-coding RNA (SBIC_LNC008592)". The record is from RNAcentral. Lineage: Eukaryota; Viridiplantae; Streptophyta; Magnoliopsida; Poales; Poaceae.
UAAGCAUUAUUUGGUAAAUGAGACAUCAAAAGGGCUAGGCAAAAUGAAAUAAAAAGAUGGACAUGUGCAAGUCCACAGAAAAAGAAAAUUGAGCACAUGAAAGCUCAUAUAUAAAAAAAAAGAAGAAAAAAAUGCUAGCCAUGUCUCAAUACAUAGAGAGUCUAUCAAAUAAAGGAGCAACCUAGUCCACCAUAUAUCACACUUGCACAUCUUGAUCUGGGAGUAUGACACUUCUCUUCAAGGAUCCGAGCUUUGACUUCGCAAUACAUGCAAAGUAAGUAUGCUAUCUCCUUUCAUCCCUACCUUGAACUCCACAUAAGCCUUUUAGAAAUAGGAUGAAAUAGAGAAGGCAACUCUUACCAUAUGCCUUGGUGAGGAAUCAUACACCAUUUGAGUGACAUGAGAGAACCAUAAGAGGAACAUUUAAGCUUUCUUUUGAAAAUAUCACAAAACCUCUGAUAUGAAACUUGCUAAGAAUGAGAAAGUUAGUGCUCAAGUCAAACUGUUCUGUCUCUCAACCACCUAAG